This 17529-nucleotide long non-coding RNA is filed under the name Homo sapiens (human). RNAcentral's name for it is "HSALNT0286749". The record is from RNAcentral. Lineage: Eukaryota; Metazoa; Chordata; Mammalia; Primates; Hominidae.
AGAAUAUUAUGAUUACCAAUUAUUGCCUUGUGACCAGUUACCUAAGCAAGAGUCAUAGUCUCUACCUGAAUUUCUCCUUUUACUGUAUCAUACUCUUGUUUUCUCUUCUCCCAAUAUUUUAUAUAGAAUGUUUAGGGAUACAUUUUAACAUUUUCAGUUUAUGUAUUGGAAAAAUAAGAUUGCAGACAUUCUGCACUUGGAGUUGAAUAAAACUAUUCACAAAACUUUAGGUUGUCUUUCUUUGGGGUAGCCAUAAAGCAGUACACUUGAAGAUGUAUGCCAAAUAGUUAAAGUAUGUUAGACAGUGGUAUUUUUAGAAGAGCAAAUGAGAAGUGAAGCAUAUUCAUUCAAUUAACACAUACUUGCUGAACUACUACUAUGUUCUAGGCAUCAUCUCAGGCUUUGGGGAUACAGGAAUAAACAAAACAGGCAAAGAUCCCUGAUCUUAUGGAGAUUAUAAUUCUAUCAAGAGAAGACAAAAAGAAUGGGUUUUUAAAAAUUGGUAAGUCAGCCCGGCACAGUGGCUCACGCCCAUAAUCACAACAGUUUGGGAGGCCGAGUUGGGCAGAUCAUUUGAAGCCAGGAGUUCGAAACCAGCCUGGACAACAUGAUGAAACCCCAUCUCUACUAAAAAUACAAAAAUUGGCCAGCCAUGGUGGUGGGCACCUGUAAUCCCAGCUACUCAGGAGGCUGAGGGAAGAGAAUCCCUCAAGCCCAGGAGGCGGAGGUUGCAGUGAGCAGAGAUCAUACCACUGCACUCCAGCCUGGGUGACACAGUGAGACCCUGUAUCAAAAAAAAAAAAAAAGGCCGGGCAUGGCAGCUCAUGCCUGUAAUCCCAGCACUUUGGGAGGCCAAGGCAGGCAGAUCACGAGAUCAGGAGUUCAAGACUAGCCUGACCAACAUGGUGAAACCCUGUCUCUACUAAAAAUACAAAAAUUAGCUGGGCGUGGUGGUGUGCACCUGUAAUCUCAGCUACUUGGGAGGCUGAGGUGGGAGCAUUGCUUGAACCCGGGAGGCGGAGGUUGUGGUGAGCUGAGAUCGUGCCAUUGCACUCCAGCCUGGGCAAUAAGAGCGAAACUCCGUCUCAAAAAAAAAAAAAAAAAAAAAGGUUAGGGAAGAGGAUCAGCAAACGACUGAAGUAGUGAUCAAUGGAGUAAAAGAAAAAGUGAAGUAUCCUAAAAUUAGGAUACUAUCAGGGAAGGAGUGACUAAUGGAGUCAAAUAUGGAAGAGGAAAAUUUGGAUUGAAUCUAACAAUGCGCAGGUGACUGGUGACCUUGACAAGAGCAGUUUCGGUGGAAUGAUGAGAGUGAAAACUUGACUGAAAUGAAUUAAACAGAAUGUGGGAGGAGGAAUUGCAGACAGCAGGCAUAAGUGACUCUUUUAAGACAUUUGGCCACAAAGAAUAAGGAACUGGGGUAGUAUGUGGACAGCAUAGUGUAGUGCAUAGUUAUUGUUGAUUUUACUGUCCCAUAUCCAUUCUACCUUCUCAUGGUACAUCAACUUGUCUUCCAGGAGUUACUUCUCCCUCAUUGUAUACUUGCUUUGUGGGACCACGACCUGCACUCAAGCUGUAAGUGUUGCUAGAGAAAAAUAUGUAAGCAUGCUUAACUGGUUUCUCUAUAAAUUCAUGAUACAAAUCUCAAAUGGGACUCAAAACUACCAAAUACUUCUCUAGUUUGUUCACUUUCCAACUUUUCAGAUGACUGUCUCAUUUAUUAUCUCUCCUCAAACCUCCACUUCUCACUCCUCCUCACUUUCAGCAGAUAACAUUGCCUCUAAAUAACUAGAAAAAAGAUACAAUAUUAAAAGUUUCCUGGCAGGGUGCAGUGGCUCACGCCUGUAAUCUCAGCACUUUGGGAGGCCAAGGCAGGCGGAUCACACGAGGUCAGGAGUUCAAGACCAGCCUGGCCAACAUGGUGAAACCCUGUCUCUACUAAAAAUACAAAAAUUUGCUAAGCGUGGUGGCAGGCGCCUGUAAUCCCAUCCACUCGGGAGGCUGAGGCAGGAGAAUCCCUUGAACCCGAGAGACAGACAUUGCAGUGAGCCGAGAUCGCACACUGCACUCCAGCCUGGGGAACAGAAGGUGAUCCAUCUCAUUAAUAAAUAAAUACAUAAAUAAGUAAGUAAAUUUCCUUAUUUUCCCAUAACCUAAUCUACUAAUCUCCUGCUUGUCCACCCUCAUUCUUUGCCUUCCUUCCCUUAUAGUGUGGUGGAUGAAAUACUUCUGCUCUUAACGUCGCCCUGUGACUUUUUUGGCUUCCAUCUUCCCUUAUCCAAAGACUUCAUUAAUACUGUCAUCCCCUCAUUCUCAUGUGUCAAUUUCUCCCCCUUUACUGGAACAGUCCCACAAACCUAUAUUCUAGUGCCGGGCGCGGUGGCUCAUGCCUGUAAUCCCUGCACUUUGGGAGGCCGAGGUGGGCAGAUCACAUGAGGUCACGAGUUCGAGACCAGCCUGAUCAACACGGAGAAACACUGGCUAUACUAAAAAUACAAAAUUAGCUGGGCGUGGUGGCGUGCACCUGUAAUCCCAGCUACGGGAGGCUGAGGUAGGAGAAUCACUUGAACCCGGGAGGCAGAGAUUGCAGUGAGCCGAGAUCACGCCAUUGCACUCCAGCCUGGGCAACAAGAGCGAAACUCCAUCUCAAAAUAAAUAAAUAAAUAAGACAUUCUAGUAUCUCCCAUUUUAAAAAAAUACCUCCCUUGACCCCACAUCCUCCUACUCUUCUGUCCUUCACCACAGCAACAUUUCUCGAAAUAGCUCACUCUAGUUCUUGUCUUUCCUUCUGUGCCAUUCUCUCCUCAACCCACUUCAAAUAGGGUUGUGCGCCUUCCAUCCCCCUGAAAUGGCUUUUGUUAACUGUGUGUUAGUAUGCCCAACGCAUGUAGCAUGUUGUGUCGAAUGCUCACUCCUUUUUCUUCACCUCUGAGCAGCAUUCAACAGUCAUUCUUGCAACUUUCUCUUGGCUUCCUAGAAACCACACUAUCCUGAUUUUCCUCCUACCUCUGAGCCCAUUCCUUUUUAGAUUUCAUGCUACAUUCUCACCUCGUGGGCCUCUAAAACGUUAGAGCAUGCCAGCAUUCAGUCCUUGGACUUCUCUAGUUACACUCUUCCUGAGUGAUCUCAUCCACUUCGAUAUUCAUACCUUAUAGUGCCAUCCACAUGCUUAUGACUCCCAAAUUUACCUCCAACCCAUACAACUCCAGCAACCUCAUUACUUACACCUAAUUCUACAUGUGACAUUUCUGUGUGGAUGACUAAAAGUCACCUUAAAUGAUUCAUAAAGUAUUACAUGUAUUAACAUACAUGACAGGCAGUGUAGCAUACUAGUUAGAAACAUGAUUUCUGGAACAACACGACUUGAAAUCUAAGUCUAUCAGUAUAUAGGUAUGUGACCUUGCAUUAUUUAUCUAUGUAACAAUUUCCUCACGCAUUCAAUGAGGAAAAUAAUAGUAUUUACCUGAUGAGUUCCUGUGAGGAGCAAAUAUGUUAAUGAAAAGUACUUAGAACAGAGUCUGGGCCUGACGCUGCAGCUCACGCCUGCAAUCCCAGCACUUUGAGAGGCAGAGAUGGGUAGAUCACCUGAGGUCAGGAGUUCAAGACCAGCCUGGCCAACAUGGUGAAACCCCGUCUCUACUAAAAAUACAAAAAAUUUGCUGGGCAUGGUGGCGGGCACCUGAAAUCCCAGAUCUUCGGGAGGCUGAGGCAGGAGAAUCACUUGAACCCAGUAGGCGGAAAUUGCAGUGAGCCAAGAUCGCACCACUGCACUCCAGCCUGGGCGACAGAGUAAGAUGCUGUCUCAAAAAACAAUAAAAGCUAAAGGAAGAUUAUUACAACAUCAUACAGGCUUAGACCCCUCAGAAUUGAAGGUUAAGUAAACCAAGUAAAAUGCCACCAUUGACUGAGGUAGAAAAAAAAUAACAAAAUGGAUAUUUUAGGAAGAAUAUUAUAAUUACCAAUUAUUGCUUGUGACCAGUUACCUAAACAAGAGUUAUAGUCUCUACCUGAAUUUCUCCUUUUACUGUAUCAUACUCUUGUUUUCUCUUCUCCCAAUAUUUUAUAUAGAAUGUUUACGGAUACAUUUUAACAUUUUCAGUUUAUGUAUUAGAAAAUUUGGAGAUUAGAUUCCAGACAUUCUGUACUUAAGAGUUGAAUGCAACUAUUCACAAAACUUUUUUGGUUGUCUUUCUUUGGGGUAGCCAUAAAGCAGCACACUUGAAGAUGUAUGCAAAAUAGUUAGUGUUAGGCAGAGAUAUUUUUGGAAGAACAACUAUGAGAAGUGAAGCAUAUUCAUUCAUUUAACACAUAUUUGUUGAACUCCUACUAUGUUCUAGACAUCAUCUCAGGCUUUGGGGAUGCAGGAAUAAACAAAACAGGCAAAGACCCCUCGUCUUAGGAAGAUUAUAUUCUAUCAAGGGAAGACAAAAAGAAACAAUGGGUUUUUUAAAAUUGGUACGUUGACCAGGUGUGGUGGCUCACGCCUGUAACCCCAGCACAUUGGGAGGCCCAGAUGAGCACAUCAUUUGAGAUCAGGAAUUCAAAACCAGCCUGGCCAACAUGGUGAAACUGCAUCUGUACUAAAAAUACAAAAAUUAGUCGGCCGUGGUGGCACACACCUAUAAUCCCAGCCACUCAGGGGGCUGAGUCAUGAGAAUCACUUGAGCCCAGGAGGCGGAGGUUGCAAUGAGCAGAGAUCACACCACUGCACUCCUGCCAGGGUGACAGUGAGACCCCCUUCUCAAAAAGAAGAAAAAGAAAAAAAAAAAGGCACGGAAGAAGAUCAGCAAGAGAAUGGAGGUAGUGAUCAGUGGGGUAAAACAAAAAGGAAGUGUAGUAUCCUAAAAUUAACAUAAAGAAAUUAUUAUCAGGGAAGGAGUAAUCAAUGGAGUCAAAUAUGGAGGUAAGAGGAAAACCUGGAGUGAAUCUAACAAUGUGCAGGUCACUGGUGACCUUGACAAGAGCAGUUUCAGUAAAAUACUGAGAGUGAAACCUUGACUGAAAUGAAUUAAACAGAAUGUGGGAAGAGGAACUGCAGACAGCAGGCAUAAAUAACUCUUUCAAGACAUUUUGCAGCAAAGGAGAAUAAGGAACUGGGAUAGUAAGUGGACUGCGUAGUGUAGAGCAUAGUUACUAUUUUUUUUUUUUCGAGACAGAGUCUGGCUCUGUCGCCCAAGCCGGAGUACAAGGGUGCAAUCUUGGUUCACUGCAACAUCCGCCUCCCGGGCUGAAGCAAUUCUCCUGCCUCAGCCUCCUGAGUAGCUGGGAUUACAGGCACCCACCACCAUGCCUGGCUAAUUUUUGUAUUUUUGAUAGAGACAGGGUUUCACCACGUUGGCCAGGCUGGUCUCAAACUCCUGAUCUCAGGUGAUCCACCUGACUUGGCCUCCCAAAGUGCUGGGAUUACAGGCAUGAGCCACUGGGCAUGGCCAUUACUGUUGAUUUUACUGUCCCAUAUCCAUUCUACCUUCUCAUGGUACAUCAAUUUACCUUCGAGCAUUUACUUCUCUCUCAUUGUAUAUUUGCUUUGUGGGACCAACACCUGCACUCAAACUGUAAGUGUUGCUAGAGAAAAAUAUAUAAGCAUGCUUGACAGGUUUCUCUAUAAAUUCAUGAUACGAAUGUGAAAUGGGACUCAAAACUAUCAAAUAUUUCUCUAGUUUGCUUGCUUUCCAACUUUUCAAAUGACUGUCUCAUUUAUUAUCUCUCCUCAAACCUCCAUUUCUCACUCCUCCUCACUUUCAGCUGAUAACUUUGCCUCUAAACUAGAAAAAAGAAACAAUAUUAAAAGUUUCCUGGCAGGGUGCAGUGGUUCACGCCUGUAAUCUCAGCACUUUGGGAGGCCGAGGGGGGUGGAUCACUUGAGGUCAGGAGUUUAAGACCAGCCUGGCCAACAUGGUGAAACCAAGACUCUACGAAAAAUACAAAAAUUAGCCGGGCGUGGUAGCAGGCGCCUGUAAUCCCAGCUACUCAGGAGACUGAGGCAGGAAAAUCACUUGAACCUGGGAGAAAGAGGAUGCAGUGAGCUGAGACCACGCCACUCCACUCCAGCCUAGGCAACAGAGGGAGAUCCAUCUCAUAAAUAAGUGUCCUUAUUGUCCCACAACCUAAUCUACUAAUCUCUGCUUGUCCACCUUCAUUCUUUGCCUGCCUUCCCUCAUAGUGUGGUGGAUGAAAUACUUCUGCUCUUAACGUCCCGUGACUUUUUGGAUUCCAUUCUCCCUCAUCCUAAGACUUCAGUAAUCCAGUCAUCCCCUCAUUCUCGUGUCAAUUUCUGCCCCUUUACUGGAACAGUCCCAAAAACCUAUAUUCUAGUAUCUCCCAUUUAUUAAAAAUACCUCCCUUAACCCCACAUCCUCCUGCUUUUCUCUGUCCUUCACCACAGCAACAUUUCUCGAAAUAGCUCACUCUAGUUCUUGUCUUUCCUUGUUUCUGUGCCAUUCUCUCCUCAACCCACUUCAAAUAAGGUUGUGCGCCCUCCAUCCCCCUGAAAUGGCUUAACUGCAUGUUAGUAUGCCCAACGCAUGUAGCAUGUUGUGUCGAAUGCUCACUCCUUUUCCUUCAUCUCUGAGCAGCAUUCAACACAGUCAUUCUUGCAACUUUCUCUUGGCUUCCUAGAAACCACACUAUCCUGAUUUUCCUCCUACCUCUGAGCCCACUCCUUUUCAGAUUUCUUGCUACAUUCUCACCUCCUUGGCCUCUAAAAUGUUGGAGCAUGCCAGGAUUCAGUCCUUGGACUUCUCUAGUUACACUCUUCCUGAAUGAUCUCAUCCACUUCAAUAUUGAUACCUUAUAGUGCCAUCUACAUGCUCAUGACUCCCAAAUUUACCUCCAACCCAUACAACUCCAGCAACCUCAUUACUAACACCUAGUUCUACAUGUGACAUUUGUUUGGAUGACAAGUAGUCAUCUCAAAUUUAAUGAUUCAUAAAGUAUUACAUGGAUUAAUAUACAUGACAGGCAGUGUAGCAUACUAGUUAGAAACAUGAUUUCUGGAACAUGACUUGAAAUCUAUCAGUAUAUAGGUAUGUAACUUGGGUAAUUUAUUUAUGUAACUGAAUUUCCUUAUAACUUCAAUGAGAAAAAUAAUAGUAUUUACCUUAAAGGUUCUUGUGAGGAGCAAACUUUUUUUUUUUUUUUUUUUUUUUUUUUUUUUUUAUUUGAGACAGAGGCUUGCUCUUGUCGCCCAGGCUGCAGUGCAAUGGCGCGAUCUCAGCACACUGCAACCUCCACCUCCGGGGUUCAAGCGAUUCUUGUGCCUCAGCCUCCUUGAGUAGCUGGGAUGAGAGGCGCCCGCCACCACGCCCGGCUAAUUUUUAUACUUUUAUUUUAGUAGAGACAGGGUCUGGCCAUGUUGGCCAGGCUGGUCUUGAACACCUGACCUCCAGUGAUCCGUCAGCCUUGGCCUCCCAAAGUGGUGGGAUCACAGGUGUGAGCCACCGCGCCCAGCAAUGAGGAACAAAUAUGUUAAUGAAAAGUACACAGAACAAAAUCUGGGCCUGGCACAUGGAUCAUGCCUGUAAUCACAACACUUUGGGAGGCCAAGGCAGCUGGAUCACCUGAGGUCAGGAGUUAGAGACCAGCCUGGCCAAUAUGGUGAAACCCUGUCUGUACUAAAAAUACAAAAAUUAGCCGGGCAUGGUGGUGGAUGCCUGUAAUCCCAUCUAUUCAGGAGGCUAAGGGAGGAGAAUCACUUGACCCUUGGAGGCGGAGGUUGCAGUGAGCCGAGAUCGCACCACUGCACUCUGCCCUGAGGGACAGAGGGAGACUCCGUCUCAAAAAGAAAAAAAAAAAACAUAAAAGCUAAAGAAAGAGUAUCACACAGGCUUAGAACCCUCAGGAUUGAAGGUUUAGUAAACCAAGUAAAAUGUCACCAUUAACUAAGGUAAAAAAAAAAAAAUACAAAUGGAUAUUUUAGGAAGAAUAUUUUAAUUACCAGUUAUUGCCUUGUGACCAGUUACCUAAGCAAGUGUUAUAGUCUCUACCUGAAUUUCUCCUUUUACUAUAUCAUACUCUUGUUUUCUCUUCUCCCAAUAUUUUAUAUAGAAUGUUUAGGGAUACAUUUUAACAUUUUCAGUUUAUGUAUUAGAAAACUUAGAGAUAAGACUGCAGACAUUCUGCACUUGGAGUUGAAUGCAACUAUUCAUAAAACUUUAGGUUGCCUUUCUUUGGGGUGGCCAUAAAGCAGUACACUUGUAGAUGUAUGCAAAACAGUUCAAGUGUGUUAGAGAUAUUUUUGGAAAAACAACUAUGAAAAGUGAAGCAUAUUCAUUUAACACAUACUUGUUGAACUUCAGGCUUUGGGGAGACAGGAAUAAACAAAACAGGCAAAGAUCCCUCAUCUUAUGGAGAUUAUAUUCUAUCAAGAGAAGACAAAAAGAAACAAUGGGUAUUUAAAAAUAAGUACCCCGGCAGGUCGCGGCGGCUCACGCCUAUAAUCCCAGCUCUUUGGGAGGCUGAGACAGGCAGAUCAUUUGAAGUCAGGAAAUCAAAACCAGCCUGGCCAACAUGGUGAAACCCUGUCUCUACUAAAACUAGAAAAAUUAGCCAAGUGUGGUGGUGAGCGCCUGUAAUACCAGCUACUCAGGAGGCUGAGGCAGGAGAAUCACUUGAGCCCGGGAGGCAAAGGUUGCUGUGAGCAGAGAUCACACCACUGCACUCCUGCCUGGGUGACAGAGUGAGACUCUGUCUCAAAGAAAAAAAAAAAAAUGGAGGUUAGGCAAGAGGAUCAGUAAGAGACUAGGAGUGAUCAGUGGGGUAAAGGAAAAAGAAAGUGGGCUGGGCACGGUGUCUCUCGCCUAUAAUCCCAGCACGCUGGGAGGCCGAGGUUACUGGAUCACCUGAGGUUGGGAGGUCGAGACCAGCCUGGCCAACGUGACAAAACCGCUUCUCUACCAAAAUUACAAAACAUUAGCUAGGGGUAGUGGCGGGCGCCUGUAGUCCCAGCUACUUGGGAGGCUCAGGCAGGAGAAUCACUUGAACCCGGUAGGCGGAGGUUGCAGUGAGCCGAGAUCAUGCCACUGCACUCCAGCCUGGGAAAUAGUUAAGACUCCAUCUCAAAAGAAAAGAAAAGAAAGUGUAGUAUCAUAAAAUUCAAAUAAAGAUAUUCUAUCAGGGAAAAAGUGACUAAUGGAAUCGAAUAUGGAAGAGGAAAAUUUGGAUUGAAUCUAACAAUGUGCAGGUCACCGGUGACCUUGACAAGAGCAGUUUCAGUGGAAUGAUGAGAGUGAAAACUUAACUGAAAUGAAUUAAACAGAAUGUGGGAAGAGGAAUUACAGAUAGCAGGCAUAAGUGACUCUUUUAAGACAUUUGGCCACAAAGGAGAAUAAGGAACUGGGGUAGUAUGUGGACAGCAUAGUGUAGUGCAUAGUUAUUGUUGAUUUUACUGUCCCAUAUCCAUUCUACCUUCUCAUGGUACAUCAAUUUACCUUCGAGCAUUUACUUCUCCCUUAUUGUAUACUUGCUUUGUGGGAUCAACACCUGCAUUCAAGCUGUAAGUACUGCUAGAGAAAAAUACAUAAGCAUGCUUAACUGGUUUCUCUAUAAAUUUAUGAUACAAAUCUCAAAUGGGACUCAAAAAUACCAAAUACUUCUCCAGUUUGUUCACUUUCCAACUUUUCAAAUGACUCUCAUUUAUUAUCUCUCCUCAAACCUCUACUUUUCACUCCUCCUCACUUUCAGCUGGUAACUUUGCCUCUAAAUGGGAAAAAGAAACAGUAUUAAAAGUUUCCUGGCAGGGUGCAGUGGUUCACACCUGUAAUCUCAGCACUUUGGGAGGCUGAGGCGGGCGGAUCGCUUGUGGUAAGGAGUUCAAGACCAGCCUGGCCAACAUGGUGAAACCCCGUCUGUGCUAAAAAUACAAAAAUUAGCCGGGCAUGGUGGCGGGCGCCUGUAAUCCUAUCUACUUGCGAGGCUGAGGCAGGAGAAUUGCUUGAACCUUGGAGACGGAGGUUGUAGUGAACCAGAUCGUGCCACUGCACUACAGCCUGGGCAACAAGAGCAAGACUUAGUCUCAAAAAAAAAAGGACAUACAUUAAAUGCAUUAACGUGAUUGCCAGUGGUAGGUGAAUGAAUGUAUGGGAGUGGGAAUGGGGAAGUAAAGUAAAAACAAAAUGAGGAGGGCUCUGUGUGUACUAAUCAGAAUACACCAAAAUACUUGAGGAGUAUGACGAGCUCAGGAGACGAAGAAACUCAGCUUAUCUUGUCCUUGACAAAAUGCUGAUCUAACAAAGUGCUGGUUCCUUCCCCUCAUUCCACCCCUAAAGAUGACACACAAGAAGAAAAUUGAUGAAAAUAAUAAAAUCUAACACUUAUGCAGCAUUUACCAUAUGCCAGGAACUAUUAACUCAUUUAUCUUAGCAGCCAAUGCUAUGAGAUAAUUAUUAUUCCCAUUUUAUAGAUGAGAAAACUAGUGAGGUUAAGCAACUUGCCCAAGGUCACACACCUGGUAAUGCUGAAACUGGGAUUUGAACUCAGUCUAGAUAGAACAGAGAAACACCUAGAGGAGGGAGAGGGUGAGUUUGGGGUAGGAAUGGAAGUCAGGGAAGGGUAGCCUAAAACGGAGGAAGAGGGGGCUCCAUGGACAGAGGAGAAGCUAGGGGUGAAAUGUGUCAUUGUGCCCUUUCUCCUCCAACAUUGCACCAGAAAGAUCAUCUCCCACCUCAUCACCACAGCAAGACAAAGAACAUCUGCGCCAAGCCAGCUGGAGGUGGGUUCCAUUUAGGCAGCACUGGAGCCCAGUUGGAUGGGGGGGCAUAUUACAUGUGCAGGCACACAGGCCACCCUGAAAACUACACCUUCAGCUAGUCAAUACAACUUAUACUUUCAAGGCAAGGAUUUGGCCAUAUGUUCCUUGAGGAAUUCUUUCCAAAAAAAAAAAAACCCCUGAAGAAAUUGACAUCAGGGUAUCUUAUUCUGUUUUCUGUUGUUAUAACUAAGUACCUGUGACUGGGUAAUUUAUAAAGAAUUGAUUUCUUUCAGUUCUGCUUGCUGAGAAGUCCAAGGUCAAGAGGCCACAUCUGGUGAGAGCCUCCUUGCUGGUGGGGACGCUGCAGAGUCCCAAAGCAGUGCAGGGUAUCACAUGGUGAAGAAGCUGAGCGUGCUAGCUCUGGUCUCUUCCUCUUCUCAUGAAGCCACCAGUCCCAGUCCCAUGAUAAUCCAUUAACCCAUUAAUCCACGAAUCACUGAGAAUUGAGUUUCAACAUGGGAGGGGCACAGUGGCUCAUGCCUAUAAUCCCAGCACUUUGGGUGGCCGAGGCAGGCAGAUAACUUGAGGUCAGGAGUUCGAGAUCAGCCUGGCCAACAUGGUGAAACCCCGUCUCUACUAAAAAUAUAAAAAUUAGCUGGGCGUGGUGGCACCCAUCUAUAAUCCCAGCUACUUGGGAGGCUGCAGCAGGAGAAUUGCUUGAAGCUGGGAGGCGGAGGUUGCAGUGAGCCAAGAUAGCGCCAUUGCACUCCAGCCUGGGCCACAAGAGUGAAACUCCAUCUCAAAAAAAAAAGUUUCAACAUGGGUUUCGGAGGGAACAUUCAAACCAUAGCACAGGGGUUCACCAACAAACAGCACCCACAGUGAAGCACAGUAAAAAAGCCCUCAGAGAUUACAAACAUGUUAAUCCCCUCUCUUCUUAUAAUCAUGAACACAGAGCCAAAACUUUCCAAUUAUUUGAGGAAAGCCCCUAGUAAGAAGUUUGAAGUAGAAAAAAACAGCAAUAGUAACUUCAAAGGAAAAAAAUCCACUCUGCAGGAAGAAAACUUUAGGACUUUAAAAAAUUAGUAUCCUUAGAGAGCUUACUAUAAAACUACAGUAAUCAGGCCAGGCACAGUGGCUCACGCCUGUAAUCCCAGUACUUUAGGAAGCCAAGGCUGGUGGAUCACCUGAGGUCAGGAGUUUGAGACCAGCCUGGCCAACAUGAUGAAACUCCAUCUCUACUAAAAAUACAAAAAGUAGCCAGGCGUGGUGGUGGGUGCCUGUAAUCCCAGCUACUCGGGAGGCUGAGGCAGGAGAAUCACUUGAAUCAGGGAGAUGGAGGUUGCAGUGAGCCGAGAUCAUGCCAUUGCACUCCAGCCUGGGGUGACAAGAGCAAAACUGUGUCUAAAAAAAAAAAACACCCUACAGUAAUCAAGGUAAGGAUAGACAUAGACAUUACCGAUCAAUUUUUUUAAGUACAGUAACGGACCCAGGUAUGUAUGUUUCCUAUUAAGAUACUGAAGUACUGGAGGCUAGUCUUUUCAAAAAAAGAUGCUCAAAGGCCUAUCUGUAUUUGAAAAAAUCAAUUUCAACACCUACCUCAUACCCAAAAAAAUUCAAAAUGGAUUACAGACAUAAUAUAAAAGUUAAAACCACAAAACUUGUCCAGGCAUGGUGUCUCAUGUAUGUAAUCUUAGCACUUUGGGAGGCCUAGGCACGUGGAUCCCUUGAGCUCAGGAGUUGAAGGCCAGCCUGAGCAACAUGGUGAAACCUUGUCAUGAGGUUUUGAGACCCAGUCACAAAAAAACUUACAAAACUUCUAGAAGACAGGAAAAAAUAUUUAUGACCAGGCAGUAGGCAAUUUUGUUAGGUCACAGAAACCAAGAACCAUUUUUGUUAAAUUAGAUUUCAUUUGCUCAUUGAAAAAAAUAAAAAAUAGGCAAGGCAGACUGGGAGAAGAUAUUCGUAACAUAUCUGACAAUUUGUAUCCAGAACAAAUAAAUAAAUUCUGUAACAUUUAAAAAGCAGGCAACCCAAUUUUUAAGACAGACAAAAGUCUUAGACACUUUGUGAAAGUAGUUAUACACACGGCUAAUUAAGCACGUGAGAAACUGCCCAUCAGCCUGGCCAACAUGGCGAAAUCCCAUCUCUACUAAAAAUACAAAAAUUGCCGGGCGAGGUGGCUCACGCCUGUAAUCCCAGCACUUUGGGAGGCCGAGGUGGGUGGAUCACAAGGUCAGGAGUUCAAGGCCAUGCUGACCAACAUGGUGAAACCCCAUCUCUACUAAAAAUACAAAAAUUAGCUGAGCGUGGUGGCGCAUACCUGUAAUCCCAGCUACUCAGUAGGCUGAGACAGGAGAAUCCCUUGAACCCAGGAGGCAGAGGUUGCAGUGAGCUGACAGCAUGCCACUGCACUCCAGCCUGGACGACAGAACAAGACUCCAUCUCAAAAAAAAAAAAAAAAAAAAAAAAAGCAAAAAUACAAAAAUUAGCCCGGCAUAUGGACUGGGCACGGGGGCUCACGCCUAUAAUCCCAGCACUUUGGGAGGCCAAGGUGGGUGGAUCACAAGGUCAGGAGAUCAAGACCAUCCUGGCUAACAUGGUGAAACCCCAUCUCUACUAAAAAUACAAAAAAUUAGCCGAGCGUUGUGGCGGGCGCCUGUAGUCCCAGCUACUCAGGAGGCUGAGGCAGGAGAACGGCGUGAACCCAGGAGGCGGAGCUUGCAGUGAGCGGAGAUCGUGCCACUGCACUCCAGCCUAGGCGACAGAGCGAGACUCAGUCUCUAAAUAAAUAAAGUAAUUAAAUUAAAUUAGUCCAGCAUAGUGGUGGACGCCUGUAAUCCCAGCUACUCGGGAGGCUGCAGCAGAACUGCUUGAACCCAGGAGGUGAAGUUUGCAGUGAGCCGAGAUUGCGCCACUGCACUCCAGCCUGGGUGACAGAGCGAGACCCCGUUUCAGAAAAAAAAAACACAAAACUCCCAGUAUGAAGUGCAAUGUGAGAUACUGGAGUAGAUCCUGCAAUGGAGAGAAGACAGUAGAAAAUAUGUGAAAUCUAAAGUCUUUUUUGAGACAUGGUCUCACUGUCACCCAAGCUGGAGUGCAGUGGUGCCAUCACGGCUCACUGCAGCCUCAACUUCCUAUGCUCAGGCCAUCCUCCCAUCUCAGCCUCCUGACACCACACCCAGCUAAUUUUUGUAUUCUUUUGUAGAGGUGGGUCUUGCUAUGUUCUCCAGGCUGGUCACCUGGGCUCAAGUGGUCUACCUUGGCGUCCCAAAAUGCUGGGAUGACAAACAUGAGACAUCACACCCAACCUAGUCUGGAGUUUAGUUAAUGGUAAUAUACCAAUGUUAAUCUCUUAGUUGACAAAUACCAUAAUAAUGUAAGAUAUUAAAAUUAGGGGAAAUUGGGUAAUGCGUAUGAGAACUCUCUACUUUGCAACUUCUGAGAAUUUAAAAUUAUCCCCAAAUAAAGCCUUUUUAAAAAAGUGCUCAGCAUCAUUAGUCAUCAGGGAAAUGUGAAUUAAAAUCAAUACUACCCCACCCACCAGAAUGGUUAAAAUGAAACUGAUCAAUAGCAGCACAUGUUGUUAAGGAUGUUGUGGAGGAACCAGAAUUCUCAUAAAUUGCUAAUGAGGCCGGGCACGGUGGCUCAUGCCUGUAAUCCUAGCACUUGGGAGGCCAAGGAGGGUGUAUCACCUGUCAGUUUGAGACCAACCUGGCCAACAUGGCGAAACCUCGUCUCUACUAAAAAUACAAAAAUUAGCUGGGUGUGGUGGUGGGUGCCUGUAAUCCCAGCUACUUGGGAGACUGAGGCAGGAGAAUCGUUUGAACCCAGGAGGCAGAGGUUGCAGUGAGCCAAGAUCAUGCCACUGCACUCCAGCCUAGGCGACAGAGAGGCCGUCUCAAAAAAAAAAAAAAAAAAAAUUGCUACUGAGGGCAUAAAAUGGUACAACCACUCUGGGAAAACUCUGGUAGUUUCUUAAAAAUUAAACAUACAGCAGAUCUUUUAAAAACGUCAUUUUAGUGAACAUCAUUUUGUUGAGGAAAAAAAAAAAAUCAACUCCUGGCUGGGACCACUGUGCGGAGUUAACACAUCCUUCCCGUGUCUGCAUUGGCUUUCUCUCUGGGUACUCCUGUUUCCUCCCAUAUCCCAAAGGUAAACUUGCAAGUCUGAAUGGUUCCGAUCUGAGUGAAUGUGGGUGUGAGCAUGUCCUGCAAUGGGAUGGUCUCCUGGCCAAGAUCGGUUCCCACCUUGGCCUUGAGCUGGCUAGACAGGUUCUAGUUUCCUGAGACUCUGAACUGAAAUAACUGGGUAAAUAACUAGAUAGCUUUUCAACUCUUCUUAAGUAACUGGGUAAAGAACUAUAUAGCUUUUCAACUUUUCUUAAACGUAUGCACAGCUCACGUUUAUUUCAAUGUUUAGUAUUAGAUGUGUUUUGGCUUUUAUUUGGCACCAGGCGCAGUGGCUCACACCUGUAAUCUCAGAACUUUGGGAGGCGGAGGAAGGAUUGCGAAAUUCAAGCCCAGCCUGGGCAACAAAGGGAGACCCCCGCCGUCUCUUUAAAAAAAAAAAAAAAAAAAAAACGCCAGGCAUGCUAGCACACGCCUGUAGUCCCAGCUACUUGGGAGGCUGAGGUGGGAGGAUUGCUUGAGUCCAGGAGGUCAAGGCUGCAGUGAGUCAUAAUAGCACUACACUCCAGCCUGGGCAACAGAGUACAAUGUCUCAAAAAAAGUUUGACACUUUUAACUACAAAUAUGUUGCAGGAACUUAAAUUUUUUGUCAAUUAGCCUACGGUAAAGCUGGUUUCAUUAUAAAAGUUUCCAAGAACCCUUCAAGAAAUCUUCAACAAUGUUAAGAUUUACUGUAUUAUCUACCCUGUCACUUCAUGAAUUCCACUCGACAUUUACCAAAAAUAAACUGUUACGUCCAAGACUCGUACAAGAAUACUCAUAGCAGUAUUUGUAAUAGCCAAAAAUUGGAACUAGCCCAGAUGUCCAUCAAUAGUUACUUCAUGCACUGCAACUCUACUCUGCAAUAAAAGGAAUAUACAUGCAACUAUGUGGAUGAAUCUGAAAACAUUCUGUAAGCAGCUAGACAUAAACUACAUCAACAGAAUUUACAUAAUCAAAAUUUGCAAAAAAUAUCUUAUGAUGGAAAUCAGGUCAGUGUUUGUUGCUGGUGUUGGGAGGUGGUCUAUUGACUGAGAAGGGGCACACACAACUUUCCGGAGCUAAGUUCUGUGUCUUGAUGUGCUAAGCGUUUCUCAAGACUGAUCAAACUGUACAUGAGAUCAGUGCAUUUCACCAUACUUUUUUUCAAGUACUACUCAUUGCUGAGAGGAUAAGCCACAAAUUCACCAUAAGGGCUAAACUGUUAACACCAGAUACUGACAAGGCAUGGAAUAACUCACACAUCAUUGGCUAAGUGUUUCCACAGUAUUACUUUGGAAAAAAUGCCUAGCCAUCUCUCAAAAAAUGUACAUCUAUCCUGAUUCAGCAAUUCCACACCCGUUUUCAUCUCAGUAAUUACAAAAACAAAAGCUACUGUGAGAACAUUUAUAGCAACUUUAUGCAUGAAAGCCAAAAACCAGAAAAGGCCCAGGUUUCCAUGAAUGGGAAAGCAUACCAUACUCGGCAACAUGGAACUACUGAUGUAUACACGGCUAAAACUCAAGUACUUUGAGAUGAUGGUAAUUAUCCAUCAUUGAUAGAGUAUACAUUUCUCAGUUCAUAAAACAGUACCCUUAAUACUUGAGUAUUUCAGAUUUAAAUGUUAUCUUAAAAAUUGAUUAAAGUUGAACUAAUUGAUACAAAAGUUCAAGUUACUUUUCAGGAAGUAUACUGACAUGUGCAACAUAAAGUAUUGACGGGAUGAGUAGAGAGAUGUUUUCCUGGAACAAUAGGUAUAGAACUGGCUGCGCGUUGUAGCUCACACCUGUAAUCCCAGCACUUUGGGAGGCCAAGGUGGGCAGAUCACUUGAGUUCAGGAGGUUCAAGACCAGGCUGGCCAACAUGAUGACAACCCCAUCUCUACUAAAACACAAAAAUUAGCUGGGUGUGGUGGCGCACGCCCGUAAUCCCAGCUACUUGGGAGGCUGAGGUAGGACAAUCGUUUGAACCCGGGAGGCGGAGGUUGCAGCGAUCCGAGAUGGUGCCACUGCACUCCAGCCUGGGGGACAUGGUGAGACUCCAUCUCAUUAAUAAACCCCCCCAAAAAAACAGGUGUAGAGCUGAGAUUAUUUACAGAAUGACAAUACUUAGGGCUUUCUCUGCCAUCUUAAUGCUUAGCUGCAUUCUUUCUCCAUGUGCUGAGUUCUGUUCAACUGACUACAUAACCCAAAUGCAAUGCCCAGUUUUAGACACAAACGAACAUCAACUAGUCAGAUAUAUACAGGACACUAGGUAAAGCAGAGAAACUGAAAACUGCAAAUUCAGAAGCAUAUUAUCACAUGCAUUGCUUGACCCAAAGUAUUUGGAAUCCACAGCCACAACUGAGUUGUUGCUGACCUGUUUUUCCCCAAGAGGUAAGCAGGAAUUACAUAAAAGCACUACAGUUGACUCCUGGUUUAUUUAGCCUCUGCUUCUUAGGUGUGUGAUUGUGCUUCCAUUUAACUUUUAGGGUGAGGACUGAAUGAAGUCAUCUACAUUCCCCCUGAAGCUCACUCUCAAUAAAGGAGGCCUAGUCACAAAAACAGCCUCAAUGACUCUGGACAUUCCCAUGCAAAACUGAUUAAGUGCCAUCAAUGCAACAGAGGUAGUGUUUGGGGGAGGGGGACAUGGGAAAAACAUUUAAAAACAUAAACCCCUAAUUUCUAAGUAAAGAAGAGCCCCUUGCCACAAAAAAAG